ACCUGGCUGGCUCAGUCAGUGAAGCACAUGACUCUUGAUCUUGGGAUUGUGGGUUUGAUCCCCACAUUAGGUG
This 73-nucleotide transfer RNA is filed under the name Felis catus (domestic cat). It matches the Rfam family "tRNA". From Rfam's summary of the family: Transfer RNA (tRNA) molecules are approximately 80 nucleotides in length. Their secondary structure includes four short double-helical elements and three loops (D, anti-codon, and T loops). Further hydrogen bonds mediate the characteristic L-shaped molecular structure. tRNAs have two regions of fundamental functional importance: the anti-codon, which is responsible for specific mRNA codon recognition, and the 3' end, to which the tRNAs corresponding amino acid is attached (by aminoacyl-tRNA synthetases). tRNAs cope with the degeneracy of the genetic code in two manners: having more than one tRNA (with a specific anti-codon) for a particular amino acid; and 'wobble' base-pairing, i.e. permitting non-standard base-pairing at the 3rd anti-codon position. RNAcentral also lists the same sequence under 3 other names. Lineage: Eukaryota; Metazoa; Chordata; Mammalia; Carnivora; Felidae. The record is from Rfam by way of RNAcentral.